RNAcentral lists this ribosomal RNA (465 nucleotides) under uncultured bacterium. RNAcentral's name for it is "partial 16S ribosomal RNA". It matches the Rfam family "Bacterial small subunit ribosomal RNA", at positions 28 to 507 of the family's 1533-position model. The record is from RNAcentral.
GACGAACGCUGGCGGCGUGCUUAACACAUGCAAGUCGUACGGUAAGGCCCUUUCGGGGGUACACGAGUGGCGAACGGGUGAGUAACACGUGAGUAACCUGCCCACAACUUUGGGAUAACGCUAGGAAACUGGUGCUAAUACUGGAUAUGUGCUCCUGCUGCAUGGUGGGGGUUGGAAAGCUCCGGCGGUUGUGGAUGGACUCGCGGCCUAUCUGCUUGUUGGUGGGGUAGUGGCCUACCAAGGCAGCGGCGGGUAGCCGGCCUGAGAGGGUGACCGGCCACAUUGGGACUGAGAGACGGCCCAGACACCUACGGGAGGCAGCAGGGGGGAAUAUUGCACAAUGGGCGCAAGCCUGAUGCAGCAACGCCGCGUGCGGGAUGACGGCCUUCGGGUUGUAAACCGCUUUCAGCAGGGACGAAGCUUUUUGUGACGGUACCUGCAGAAGAAGCACCGGCUAACUACGUG